This is a transfer RNA of Ipomoea nil (Japanese morning glory), 82 nucleotides long. It matches the Rfam family "tRNA". Rfam says of the family: Transfer RNA (tRNA) molecules are approximately 80 nucleotides in length. Their secondary structure includes four short double-helical elements and three loops (D, anti-codon, and T loops). The record is from Rfam. NCBI's taxonomy places the organism in Eukaryota, Viridiplantae, Streptophyta, Magnoliopsida, Solanales, Convolvulaceae.
GUGGGCGUGCCGGAGUGGUUAUCGGGCAUGACUAGAAAUCACGUGGGCUUUGCCCGCGCAGAUUCAAAUCCUGCCGCUCACG